GGGGGGGGGGGGGUCCCAAUAACAGGAAAACAGCAAAUUGAUUUGGCUUAUAACAGAUAACAAGGAAUUAAAAUGGACAAAAACAGAUAACAGUAAAUUAAAUAUAAAAAUAAGUCGGGUCCUUGACAAAUCCAGUAUUUCCUAUUACGGGUAUAAUCCUUUGUAAUGAAUUCCAUUUUCUAUAAACAUGGUUUUUAGAAUUAUGUAUCUAGAUAUGUAUUUGGUAUAUUCUUGUCCAUCCGUCGUCAACAUGUCGGACAUUAACUCAAACACUCUUUAACCAAUUUACAUAAAACUUUGGGAAAUUGUUUAUAUCUAUUGACGUGAGCUCACUAUCGUGUUUUAUAAAUGUUAGAUUUUAAGUUUCUGGGUAAUUGGGUUUUAUUUAAUAAAAAUGGUGGUUUUUUUUCUUCAGUUUUCUGAUAAUAUCUCAAAAAUCCUUUCACAAAUUUGCAAGGAAUUUUGGUGAAUUGUUUAUAUCUAUUUACAUGAGCUCCCUUUCAAUUUUUAUAAAUUUUAGAUUUUACGUUUCCGAGUUAAGGGGUUUUAUUAAUUAAAAGGGGGGAUUUUCUAGUUUUUGGACAUUAGCAGAAAAACGAUUUCAGCAGUUCUCAUGAAACUUUGCUGGAUUGUUUAUAUCUAUUGUUGUAAGCGCCCUUUCGAUUUUUAUUAAUUUCCGAUUUUAUGUUAUUCAAUUGAGGGGAUUAUUCAUUAAAAAAGAUGGUAUUUUCCAGUUUUCGGACAAUAACUCAAAAAUGUUUUCAGCAGUUCUCAUGAAACUUUGAUGUAUUGUUUAUAUACAUGAUAUAUAUUAACUGAUUUUUAUAACUAUCUGAUAUGACAUUGAGAAGUUAUCGAAUAUUUCAAAAAGGUAACCACCCAAGGGUGACUGGGGUAUAGAAAUAUGGUCACUUGGUCUUCUUCCGACUGGCAGUAAAACGCUUGCCGAAGUGGGGCGUCCGUUUGGCUGUGCGGGAUGUAUCAAGUUCGCAGUCACGUCCGGUCAGAUUCCGAUGUCUCGUGUAAGGAGAGUGCCACGCUCUUUGCACGUUAAGAACCCUUGCAACAACUCUUUGAGGGGUCCGUAGGUGGCCUGUUGCAAGGCAUAAUUUCUGUCCCUAUCCAAUAUACCCUGAUUUUCCAGUGGUAGUCCAAAUUUCCCCGACCAUCAUCCCAGAUGGCCUCUAUUAUUUCAAGACCUACCUAUAGUAUUUAUUGUGAACUUGUUCUCGUCCUGAAUAUGCAUGAAAUAUUUGCCACUGGACGUUAAGCAACCAACAAUCAAUCAAUAAAAAAG
Molecule: long non-coding RNA, 1297 nt
Filed under: Mytilus galloprovincialis (Mediterranean mussel)
Lineage: Eukaryota; Metazoa; Mollusca; Bivalvia; Mytilida; Mytilidae
Source: RNAcentral